This 1045-nucleotide ribosomal RNA is filed under the name Pseudomonas sp. LAIL14HWK12:I3. RNAcentral's name for it is "bacterial LSU rRNA". It matches the Rfam family "Bacterial large subunit ribosomal RNA", at positions 1770 to 2814 of the family's 2925-position model. Lineage: Bacteria; Pseudomonadati; Pseudomonadota; Gammaproteobacteria; Pseudomonadales; Pseudomonadaceae. The record is from RNAcentral.
AUGCCGGUCGAAGAUACCAGGCCGCUGCGACUGUUUAUUAAAAACACAGCACUCUGCAAACACGAAAGUGGACGUAUAGGGUGUGACGCCUGCCCGGUGCCGGAAGGUUAAUUGAUGGGGUUAGCGCAAGCGAAGCUCUUGAUCGAAGCCCCGGUAAACGGCGGCCGUAACUAUAACGGUCCUAAGGUAGCGAAAUUCCUUGUCGGGUAAGUUCCGACCUGCACGAAUGGCGUAACGAUGGCGGCGCUGUCUCCACCCGAGACUCAGUGAAAUUGAAAUCGCUGUGAAGAUGCAGUGUAUCCGCGGCUAGACGGAAAGACCCCGUGAACCUUUACUAUAGCUUUGCACUGGACUUUGAAUUUGCUUGUGUAGGAUAGGUGGGAGGCUUUGAAGUGGGGACGCCAGUUCUCAUGGAGCCAUCCUUGAAAUACCACCCUGGCAACUUUGAGGUUCUAACUCAGGUCCGUUAUCCGGAUCGAGGACAGUGUAUGGUGGGUAGUUUGACUGGGGCGGUCUCCUCCCAAAGAGUAACGGAGGAGUACGAAGGUGCGCUCAGACCGGUCGGAAAUCGGUCGUAGAGUAUAAAGGCAAAAGCGCGCUUGACUGCGAGACAAACACGUCGAGCAGGUACGAAAGUAGGUCUUAGUGAUCCGGUGGUUCUGUAUGGAAGGGCCAUCGCUCAACGGAUAAAAGGUACUCCGGGGAUAACAGGCUGAUACCGCCCAAGAGUUCAUAUCGACGGCGGUGUUUGGCACCUCGAUGUCGGCUCAUCACAUCCUGGGGCUGAAGCCGGUCCCAAGGGUAUGGCUGUUCGCCAUUUAAAGUGGUACGCGAGCUGGGUUUAGAACGUCGUGAGACAGUUCGGUCCCUAUCUGCCGUGGACGUUUGAGAUUUGAGAGGGGCUGCUCCUAGUACGAGAGGACCGGAGUGGACGAACCUCUGGUGUUCCGGUUGUCACGCCAGUGGCAUUGCCGGGUAGCUAUGUUCGGAAGAGAUAACCGCUGAAAGCAUCUAAGCGGGAAACUUGCCUCAAGAUGAGAUCUCA